UCUCUGCUAUUUUUCACCGAAUGCAGUCGAACGAACUUCCGUUAAUUGAUUAUGACGUACUUGUACUGAUUGAGAUUUUAACACGAAGUGAGUGGCGAACGGGUGAGUAACACGUGGGUAACCUGCCCAGAAGUAGGGGAUAACACCUGGAAACAGAUGCUAAUACCGUAUAACAGAGAAAACCGCAUGGUUUUCUUUUAAAAGAUGGCUCUGCUAUCACUUCUGGAUGGACCCGCGGCGUAUUAGCUAGUUGGUGAGGUAAAGGCUCACCAAGGCAGUGAUACGUAGCCGACCUGAGAGGGUAAUCGGCCACAUUGGGACUGAGACACGGCCCAGACUCCUACGGGAGGCAGCAGUAGGGAAUCUUCCACAAUGGACGCAAGUCUGAUGGAGCAACGCCGCGUGAGUGAAGAAGGGUUUCGGCUCGUAAAGCUCUGUUGUUAAAGAAGAACGUGGGUAAGAGUAACUGUUUACCCAGUGACGGUAUUUAACCAGAAAGCCACGGCUAACUACGUGCCAGCAGCCGCGGUAAUACGUAGGUGGCAAGCGUUAUCCGGAUUUAUUGGGCGUAAAGCGAGCGCAGGCGGUCUUUUAAGUCUAAUGUGAAAGCCUUCGGCUCAACCGAAGAAGUGCAUUGGAAACUGGGAGACUUGAGUGCAGAAGAGGACAGUGGAACUCCAUGUGUAGCGGUGAAAUGCGUAGAUAUAUGGAAGAACACCAGUGGCGAAGGCGGCUGUCUGGUCUGCAACUGACGCUGAGGCUCGAAAGCAUGGGUAGCGAACAGGAUUAGAUACCCUGGUAGUCCAUGCCGUAAACGAUGAUUACUAAGUGUUGGAGGGUUUCCGCCCUUCAGUGCUGCAGCUAACGCAUUAAGUAAUCCGCCUGGGGAGUACGACCGCAAGGUUGAAACUCAAAAGAAUUGACGGGGCCCGCACAAGCGGUUGAGCAUGUGGUUUAAUUUCGAAGCUACGCGAAGAACCUUACCAGGUUCUUGACAUCUUUCUGAACAGUCUAAGAAGAUAGAAGUUCCUUCCGCG
RNAcentral lists this ribosomal RNA (1037 nucleotides) under Pediococcus pentosaceus. RNAcentral's name for it is "bacterial SSU rRNA". It matches the Rfam family "Bacterial small subunit ribosomal RNA", at positions 72 to 1023 of the family's 1533-position model. Lineage: Bacteria; Bacillati; Bacillota; Bacilli; Lactobacillales; Lactobacillaceae. The record is from RNAcentral.